UACAGAGGUCUCAAGCGUUGUUCGGAUUCAUUGGGCGUAAAGGGUGCGUAGGCGGCGCGGUAAGUCGGGUGUGAAAUCUCGGAGCUUAACUCCGAAACUGCAUUCGAUACUGCCGUGCUUGAGGACUGGAGAGGAGACUGGAAUUUACGGUGUAGCGGUGAAAUGCGCAGAUAUCAUUUGGAACGCCAAUGGUGAAAACAGGUCGCUGGGAGUGUGCUGACGCUGAGGCGCGAAAGCUAGGGGAGCAAACGGG
This 253-nucleotide ribosomal RNA is filed under the name uncultured bacterium. Its description in RNAcentral is "partial 16S ribosomal RNA". It matches the Rfam family "Bacterial small subunit ribosomal RNA", at positions 524 to 776 of the family's 1533-position model. The record is from RNAcentral.